UACGAAGGGAGCUAGCGUUGUUCGGAAUUACUGGGCGUAAAGCGCACGUAGGCGGAUAUGUCAGUCAGGGGUGAAAUCCCGGAGCUCAACUUCGGAACUGCCUCUGAUACAGCACGUCUUGAGUCCGGAAGAGGUGGGUGGAAUUCCUAGUGUAGAGGUGAAAUUCGUAGAUAUUAGGAAGAACACCGGUGGCGAAGGCGGCCCACUGGUCCGGUACUGACGCUGAGGUGCGAAAGCGUGGGGAGCAAACAGG
This 253-nucleotide ribosomal RNA is filed under the name uncultured bacterium. RNAcentral's name for it is "partial 16S ribosomal RNA". It matches the Rfam family "Bacterial small subunit ribosomal RNA", at positions 524 to 776 of the family's 1533-position model. The record is from RNAcentral.